CCCAGACAGCCAGGAUGUUGGCUUAGAAGCAGCCAUCAUUUAAAGAAAGCGUAAUAGCUCACUGGUCGAGUCGGCCUGCGCGGAAGAUGUAACGGGGCUAAACCAUGCACCGAAGCUGCGGCAGCGAACGUAUCACCCAAGACAACUUUGCGGAGUUGACGAUUGACGGAGCGAAGCGACGUCAAAGCGUUCAUUAAAGUCGAGUUGGCUUAGGGAUACGUUCGUUGGGUAGGGGAGCGUUCUGUAAGCCUGUGAAGGUGGCCUGUGAGGGUUGCUGGAGGUAUCAGAAGUGCGAAUGCUGACAUAAGUAACGAUAAAGCGGGUGAAAAGCCCGCUCGCCGGAAGACCAA
RNAcentral lists this ribosomal RNA (350 nucleotides) under Salmonella enterica subsp. enterica serovar Muenchen. Its description in RNAcentral is "bacterial LSU rRNA". It matches the Rfam family "Bacterial large subunit ribosomal RNA", at positions 1084 to 1348 of the family's 2925-position model. Lineage: Bacteria; Pseudomonadati; Pseudomonadota; Gammaproteobacteria; Enterobacterales; Enterobacteriaceae. RNAcentral also lists the same sequence under 3 other names. The record is from RNAcentral.